This 209-nucleotide ribosomal RNA is filed under the name uncultured Rhodocyclaceae bacterium. Its description in RNAcentral is "partial 16S ribosomal RNA". It matches the Rfam family "Bacterial small subunit ribosomal RNA", at positions 1174 to 1382 of the family's 1533-position model. Lineage: Bacteria; Pseudomonadati; Pseudomonadota; Betaproteobacteria; Rhodocyclales; Rhodocyclaceae. The record is from RNAcentral.
UGGGGAUGACGUCAAGUCCUCAUGGCCCUUAUGGUAGGGCUUCACACGUCAUACAAUGGUCGGUACAGAGGGUUGCCAACCCGCGAGGGGGAGCUAAUCCCACCAAAGCCGAUCGUAGUCCGGAUCGCAGUCUGCAACUCGACUGCGUGAAGUCGGAAUCGCUAGUAACCGUGGAUCAGCAUGUCACGGUGAAUACGUUCCCGGGUCUU